Molecule: ribosomal RNA, 263 nt
Filed under: uncultured archaeon
Lineage: Archaea
Description: partial 16S ribosomal RNA
Rfam family: Archaeal small subunit ribosomal RNA
Source: RNAcentral
CACGACUACAUUAGAUACCCCCGUAGUCCUAGCCGUAAACGAUACUCGCUAGGUGUCGGCCACGGUGCGACCGUUGUCGGUGCCGUAGGGAAGCCGUGAAGCGAGCCACCUGGGAAGUACGGCCGCAAGGCUGAAACUUAAAGGAAUUGGCGGGGAGCACCACAACGGGUGGAGCUUGCGGUUUAAUUGGACUCAACGCCGGGAAGCUCACCGGAUAGGACAGCAGAAUGAUUGCCGGGCUGAAGACCCUGCAUGACUAGCUG